AGUAACGACGUGAGGAACCUAGCCUUCCAGAGGGGGACGAACAGUUGGUAAACGACUGCUAAUACCGCAUGAUGUGUUUCGUAUGGCAUCAUCGAGACACCAAAGAUUUAUCGCUGGAAGAUGGCCUCGCGUCUGAUUAGCUAGUAGGCGGGGUAACAGCCCACCAAGGCGACGAUCAGUAGCCGGCCUGAGAGGGUGAACGGCCACAUUGGGACUGAGACACGGCCCAAACUCCUACGGGAGGCAGCAG
Molecule: ribosomal RNA, 250 nt
Filed under: uncultured bacterium
Lineage: Bacteria
Description: partial 16S ribosomal RNA
Rfam family: Bacterial small subunit ribosomal RNA
Source: RNAcentral